This 497-nucleotide ribosomal RNA is filed under the name uncultured bacterium. RNAcentral describes it as "partial 16S ribosomal RNA". It matches the Rfam family "Bacterial small subunit ribosomal RNA", at positions 28 to 507 of the family's 1533-position model. The record is from RNAcentral.
GACGAACGCUGGUGGCGUGCCUAAUACAUGCAAGUUGAGCGCUGAAGGUUGGUACUUGUACCAACUGGAUGAGCAGCGAACGGGUGAGUAACGCGUGGGGAAUCUGCCUUUGAGCGGGGGACAACAUUUGGAAACGAAUGCUAAUACCGCAUAAAAACUUUAAACACAAGUUUUAAGUUUGAAAGAUGCAAUUGCAUCACUCAAAGAUGAUCCCGCGUUGUAUUAGCUAGUUGGUGAGGUAAAGGCUCACCAAGGCGAUGAUACAUAGCCGACCUGAGAGGGUGAUCGGCCACAUUGGGACUGAGACACGGCCCAAACUCCUACGGGAGGCAGCAGUAGGGAAUCUUCGGCAAUGGACGAAAGUCUGACCGAGCAACGCCGCGUGAGUGAAGAAGGUUGUCGGAUCGUAAAACUCUGUUGGUAGAGAAGAACGUUGGUGAGAGUGGAAAGCUCAUCAAGUGACGGUAACUACCCAGAAAGGGACGGCUAACUACGUG